This is a long non-coding RNA of Oreochromis aureus, 844 nucleotides long. RefSeq lists it as uncharacterized. NCBI's taxonomy places the organism in Eukaryota, Metazoa, Chordata, Actinopteri, Cichliformes, Cichlidae. The transcript has 3 exons. The record is from RefSeq and is a predicted model, not a curated record.
UCAAUAGGUCCCGAGGUGAGACAGACACACGGUGACUGUUUAUAUACGAGCGGAGAGAACGGAGGACGGAGAUGGAAAUGGAGGAAAAAGAGAAGGAGCGAGCAGAAAUUAACGGCGAAGACGCUGGCACCCGUAGCGCCUCGGCUUAACUCUGGGAAACAGUCUGUUUAUACUGGAAACAGCCAGGCUUUUCACCCCCCCUUCGUCCUCCAGCGGCCGUUCAGAGCAGCGAUCAACACUUUCAGCUUCAGACAACCCGUCAUGCAAACUAUGCCUACGUGAAGCAUAACCUACCCUGAAGGCUUGUCACCUAAAGAAGAAGCAUAACAAAUUGACAGCAGCGAGAUGAGAAACAAGCAGCUUGACCCAGGGCAAGCAGCCUGAGCCUCUGAUGUAUCUACUAUUAAUUAUACAGGCACUUGCACGCGACAGCCACCUGACACGUCAAAAAUUACUUCUACAUGUCCACAAGAUGUCAUUAAUUACACCAGCACAAGGGGGGAUGUUGUUGAACUAGUGCUAAUGACGACAGAGUAAUUUAAGAAAUCGGCACCGCCUGCAUUACUGAAACGAUGUCAUUACCUCAUCAAGCGUCGCCUUUAGUUUUAGACGUCUGCUGGCUACUCUUUAAUCCCAGAGGCACAUGCAAAGUAUUAAGUUAUACAUGUGUGAGAGUCUGCUUGGAACAAUUUGGGCAAAAUUAAACGUUGUGCAUGUCGCCCUGGUUGAGGCGGCCUACCAGCGGCCUGAAGUUGGGGCGUGCGUUUCAUGUCAGACACAUAAUUUAAAGACUCGGCUCAAGCUGGAGAGGGUACUCCUGAUACAAAAAUGCUACUGCAGUCCA